This 213-nucleotide ribosomal RNA is filed under the name uncultured bacterium. RNAcentral describes it as "partial 16S ribosomal RNA". It matches the Rfam family "Bacterial small subunit ribosomal RNA", at positions 137 to 334 of the family's 1533-position model. The record is from RNAcentral.
AGGGGGACAACAGUUGGAAACGACUGCUAAUACCGCAUACGAUCUAAUCUCGGCAUCGAGGAUAGAUGAAAGGUGGCCUCUACAUGUAAGCUAUCACUGAAGGAGGGGAUUGCGUCUGAUUAGCUAGUUGGAGGGGUAAUGGCCCACCAAGGCGAUGAUCAGUAGCCGGUCUGAGAGGAUGAACGGCCACAUUGGGACUGAGACACGGCCCAG